Molecule: non-coding RNA, 298 nt
Organism: Paramuricea clavata
Lineage: Eukaryota; Metazoa; Cnidaria; Anthozoa; Malacalcyonacea; Plexauridae
Source: the annotation of a GenBank genome assembly
CUUGGUCCGAGCAGCGAAAAUUCGGACAAGCACAGGGUAUGCAAACAGACCAAUUUGCAAAUUGUACCCACUAGAACUGUCAACGAACGAAGUCAAGGAAAAGGACAUAAGCAACUGUGAUCAAGAAAACCUUGUUGUCAACAAUUGAACUGAACAAGAGAGAACGGUUAGAAACAGACCUGUAAAACCUCAGCCGCGAGAGCAGCCAACAGAAUUUCAGAAUGGACGAAGAUCUUACGCCGCCCCCGGAGGAUGUCGAAGAGAUAUGAACAUUCCAGUAUACAGUAUAUAGCUCGGG